Molecule: long non-coding RNA, 621 nt
Organism: Magnolia sinica
Lineage: Eukaryota; Viridiplantae; Streptophyta; Magnoliopsida; Magnoliales; Magnoliaceae
Exons: 3
Source: RefSeq, a predicted model, not a curated record
UGAGUUACACAAGCGGUACAAGCGAUGCAUGAGCCACGAGGAGGGCGCACUAUCUGCACCACCGCACGUGACCCAUGAUGACUGGCAAAUACUCUACGAUAGAUUUUUGUCUGAUUCUUUUCAGAAAAGGAGCAAAAUAAAUUCUGACAAUAUGGGAAAGUUAGAAGUGAACUGCGUAGCUGGUUCAUAGUCAUUUGUACAACUUCGUCACAACAUGCUAAGAAAUUACUAGUUAUUAUUAAGUUGAUAUAUUCUUUCCAUGCAUUUAUAUUAACUUUAUUGUCCUUUCGAUUGCGCAGUGAGAUUCCAUCACUGGCCAGGAGCCUGGACCAGUAGACCUCUACAGAGGGACUCACUGUCAGCAGGCGAUGGGAUCUUAGGUACAUCCUAGAGCCAGUGAGAUUUGGGUGGCGAUGGACACCUUACGCAGUCAGCCCACUCCCGAUGGUACUCAGCGGAGUGAGUCAGAGAUCCUGAGUGAGGUGCUUGGCACCCGUUCUGGAUAUGUGCGUGGGCUUGGCCAUGGUGCCAAGCUCACGACACCCACUAGAGCUGCCUCCACCCGAUCCAUUGUCAUUGACGAGAGCACCAAACGCCAAGCUGAUAUCGCAGAGAGAGAGG